Molecule: long non-coding RNA, 267 nt
Filed under: Mytilus galloprovincialis (Mediterranean mussel)
Lineage: Eukaryota; Metazoa; Mollusca; Bivalvia; Mytilida; Mytilidae
Source: RNAcentral
UACCUUAGGCAGCAACCAUUUGAUUUUCUGGGGGGGGCUAUGGUUUUUUUUUCUGUACAAACUUUUUUUUUCGCCUGCGGCGAAAAACAAUCUAUUUUUUUUGCGACAAGUCGAAAACAAUUUUUUUCUUUCAAUUUUAGCAUUACAUAUAGUGGCAGCUGAGGGUGAAACAAACAAUUUUUUUUUCUCAGAAUCAAAAACAAAUUAUUUUUCUCUCCAAAAACUGGAAACAAACUUUUUUUUCCAAAAAAAACCAUAGCCCCCCCC